CUGCGGAAGGAUCAUUAGUGAAUAUAGGACGUCCAACUUAACUUGGAGUCCGAACUCUCACUUUCUAACCCUGUGCACUUGUUUGGGAUAGUAACUCUCGCAAGAGAGCGAACUCCUAUUCACUUAUAAACACAAAGUCUAUGAAUGUAUUAAAUUUUAUAACAAAAUAAAACUUUCAACAACGGAUCUCUUGGCUCUCGCAUCGAUGAAGAACGCAGCGAAAUGCGAUAAGUAAUGUGAAUUGCAGAAUUCAGUGAAUCAUCGAAUCUUUGAACGCACCUUGCGCUCCAUGGUAUUCCGUGGAGCAUGCCUGUUUGAGUGUCAUGAAUACUUCAACCCUCCUCUUUCUUAAUGAUUGAAGAGGUGUUUGGUUUCUGAGCGCUGCUGGCCUUUACGGUCUAGCUCGUUCGUAAUGCAUUAGCAUCCGCAAUCGAACUUCGGAUUGACUUGGCGUAAUAGACUAUUCGCUGAGGAAUUCUAGUCUUCGGACUAGAGCCGGGUUGGGUUAAAGGAAGCUUCUAAUCAGAAUGUCUACAUUUUAAGAUUAGAUCUCAAAUCAGGUAGGACUACCCGCUGAACUUAAGCAUAUCAAUAAGCCGGAGGAAAGGAUCAUUAGUGAAUAUAGGACGUCCAACUUAACUUGGAGUCCGAACUCUCACUUUCUAACCCUGUGCACUUGUUUGGGGAUAGUAACUCUCGCAAGAGAGCGAACUCCUAUUCACUUAU
This 726-nucleotide ribosomal RNA is filed under the name Rhodotorula sp. EY12114. Its description in RNAcentral is "eukaryotic LSU rRNA". The stretch from base 171 to 324 matches the Rfam family "5.8S ribosomal RNA". The record is from RNAcentral. Lineage: Eukaryota; Fungi; Basidiomycota; Microbotryomycetes; Sporidiobolales; Sporidiobolaceae.